RNAcentral lists this ribosomal RNA (292 nucleotides) under uncultured bacterium. RNAcentral's name for it is "partial 16S ribosomal RNA". It matches the Rfam family "Bacterial small subunit ribosomal RNA", at positions 505 to 796 of the family's 1533-position model. The record is from RNAcentral.
GUGUCAGCAGCCGCGGUAAUACGUAGGUGGCGAGCGUUGUCCGGAUUUACUGGGCGUAAAGAGCGCGCAGGCGGUCGUGCAAGUCGGAUGUGAAAGCCCCCGGCUCAACUGGGGAGGGUCAUUCGAUACUGCUCGACUCGAAGGCGGGAGAGGGAAGCGGAAUUCCCGGUGUAGUGGUGAAAUGCGUAGAUAUCGGGAGGAACACCAGUGGCGAAGGCGGCUUCCUGGCCCGUUCUUGACGCUGAGGCGCGAAAGCUAGGGGAGCGAACGGGAUUAGAAACCCCCGUAGUCC